Long non-coding RNA from Daphnia pulex (common water flea), 2260 nucleotides. RefSeq lists it as uncharacterized. Lineage: Eukaryota; Metazoa; Arthropoda; Branchiopoda; Diplostraca; Daphniidae. The transcript is spliced from 2 exons. The record is from RefSeq and is a predicted model, not a curated record.
GGUUAUAUGGAUUCCAUGAAUCAAAUCUUUUAUCUUCUUUUAGCUUAAAUUUGAUGUGUUUCGGACGUCCGAAUAUUACGUUCACAAUGAAUAUCCCACAAACGUGAGAUGUCGACGUAGAAAAGAGUGACAUUAAGACGGAGAUUCUACGUACGAUGGAUGGCCAAAACGGAUAUCCAAUCGCAUAAUUGAACAACAAAACUUUUGUAAGAAUAGUUUUUUUUAACAACAAGUCCAUUAACUGCUAAGAAAAAUAAAACCCUCCAUUUUAUGACAUUCUCUGGCUACUUCCUGCUACCCAACUAGCGGUAGAUGUUUAAAAAGCACUGAUUAAAUCUCUUUUGGGUUUUAUUUUUUUAGCAGUUAAUAUCUCUGAAAAUAAGCCAUGCAUAACAAAAGGGCGUUGCACAAGAUUGCAGUUUGCAUGAAUAUAAUUUAAAAACGAGAUAGGCCAUUCCAUGUGAAAUUCAUUCUACCUUUUUUUGGUACACAGUAAAUUUGAGGAGCUGUUCAUAUAGCGUUAGUUUGUAAUAAUUGCAAAUAUGCGGUCAGUCAUGCGGGGUAAACAUUUCAACUAGGGCUUUUUGGGACACCUUCAAGCCAGCCAAAAAAGGGGGGAGUUUCCCAAGUACAGGUACGACAAAAAUAGAUAUAUUCAUUAAAAAAUUGUAGCUAACUACAGUAUUCAAAUUAAUUAAUUCUGAAAAAAAUAUAAAGAUGAGGGGAGAAAAUUUCCCAUUACUUUUGUAUAAAAAAGGGGAAAUUCAUCUAAUUUUGUGCUACUUAAAGCUACUUGAAAAUUAUUUUAGAAUCCCACGUAGCCCUGAUAUCCCCUACUUCCCAUAGCAGAAUGGUAAAAAAAAGAUCCCAUCUAUGAUUUGGUGUGUUUGAGCGAGGAUUGCUUGAUAAAAUGAAGAAAAGGAACUGUACGGCAUAAAACGUUAAAGGUAGCUUUCAACAAUAAAGAAAAAGAGAAAAUGAAAGGCGGGAUUUGGUUCAAAAAAUAUAUUUUUGCUUUGUGGUUUUCGUUUGUCGAUAAAGAAGUCAAGCAAUCAGCUAACACGUAAAUCAGUUGUUUGCUGGAACCGUUCCACGACACAAAUGUAAACAGGGAGUUCCUGAUAUUAUAUUUGAUCAUAUUGUUACGCGCCAGGAAGAGAGGACGAAUAGAGGAGACUGGGGAUGUCCAGAUUGGACGGACAAAGUGACGCAGUUUAAACGUCGAGGACGAGACGUUGGAAAAACGAGAGAGUAGAGAGGCGGAAGAGGCAGAGGAGGACUAGCAGGAAAGGAGUACAGAGGUGUCGAGAACAAGAGAAGAGGAAGCUAGGGACCAGAUACGGGGAACUAAGAGAGUUAAUUACACGUAACUGUUUGCAUAAAUGGAAUUUACUGUGCGUGUUGUGUGCCUGUUAUAUAGUCAAGGUGAGGUCGACUGGUCUUCUGGCGUUGGAUGAAAACAAUGUGGAGGACUUUGUAAAGAGGAAGCAUGCAGGGCGAUUUUCCCCACAGUGAAGCCAGUCGGCUGCUCCUUUCACUUGACACAGUCCUUCUACCGCAACAUCGAGGCUAAAGAACUAAGUCCAGCCUAUAGAAAGGACAGCCAGACCCGGAAAACCUGUCGGGAAUUGCUUAGCCUGCACCUGCUGCCAGCCGAAAAAAUUCGCAAAAGGUUCGAGAGCAUCGCAUCCAUCGCGACAGGGCUAAUGUUGCGUUUCUGCAACUAUGUGGAAACAAUCUACAUAAACAGCACAAUUUGGCCACCAGAUUGCUGGUCUAUGUUUAUGCAGCAAGUUAUGACCAAUAACAACACACAAUAACCUCAAAGCUGUUGCUGAGAAGUUAUCUAUUCUGUUGAUUAUUUUUAAUUUUCUAACUGUAUUUUUGUACUAGGACUUGCAUCAACCAAUCUUGUGAUCUUUUUUAAUAAAGAUUCACGGGGAGGUGGAGAAAAUUGCCAUGGCAGCAAAAAAUUUUUCACAAAAACAAGUCCUUAAAAAACUGAACAAGGACGGAGAAUCAAAACAGCGCCAUCUGACCACCAUAUGGGAAUCUUUUACCAGACCGGACAACCCUAUUUCCCCUAAAGAGAUGCUUUUGCAGCUCGCGUUGCUCACAAAGAAGCACUCAAAAGCGGAUCUGAGAGAGCUGAGGGACGGCCCAGAGAACGAAGAUUCUGAUUAAUGUCUUCACUAUAGUCUUCCCUUUUAUUUAUUCUGUUCUAUCUGUAUGGUUUAAAUACAAUUCCUUAUAAGCACUA